AGCUUUGCGCAGUGGCAGUAUCGUAGCCAAUGGGAUUUAUCCGAGGCGCGAUUAUUGCUAUUUUCACAAUUAUUAUUUAACCUAAUACCCUACAUGGGAGAAGGAAGUUCUGGGGAAACAAAUGAG
RNAcentral lists this small nuclear RNA (126 nucleotides) under Canis lupus familiaris (dog). Its description in RNAcentral is "U4 spliceosomal RNA (multiple genes)". It matches the Rfam family "U4 spliceosomal RNA". From Rfam's summary of the family: U4 small nuclear RNA (U4 snRNA) is a component of the major U2-dependent spliceosome. The structure of U4 snRNA from yeast and human has been reported. The record is from RNAcentral. Lineage: Eukaryota; Metazoa; Chordata; Mammalia; Carnivora; Canidae.